ACCUGGGUGGCUCAGUCAGUGAAGCGUCUGACUUCAGCUCAGGUCAUGAUCCCAGAGUUUGUGGGUUCGAGCCCCACAUCGGGCU
RNAcentral lists this transfer RNA (85 nucleotides) under Felis catus (domestic cat). It matches the Rfam family "tRNA". Rfam says of the family: Transfer RNA (tRNA) molecules are approximately 80 nucleotides in length. Their secondary structure includes four short double-helical elements and three loops (D, anti-codon, and T loops). Further hydrogen bonds mediate the characteristic L-shaped molecular structure. tRNAs have two regions of fundamental functional importance: the anti-codon, which is responsible for specific mRNA codon recognition, and the 3' end, to which the tRNAs corresponding amino acid is attached (by aminoacyl-tRNA synthetases). tRNAs cope with the degeneracy of the genetic code in two manners: having more than one tRNA (with a specific anti-codon) for a particular amino acid; and 'wobble' base-pairing, i.e. permitting non-standard base-pairing at the 3rd anti-codon position. The record is from Rfam by way of RNAcentral. Lineage: Eukaryota; Metazoa; Chordata; Mammalia; Carnivora; Felidae.